GUGCUCUGGCAGCACGUAUACUAAAAUUGGAAUUAUACAGAGAUUAGCAUGGCCCCUGCACAAAUGAUCACAUGCAAAUUUGUGAAGCGUUCCAUAUUUUA
Small nuclear RNA from Nomascus leucogenys (northern white-cheeked gibbon), 101 nucleotides. Lineage: Eukaryota; Metazoa; Chordata; Mammalia; Primates; Hylobatidae. The record is from Ensembl.